Molecule: long non-coding RNA, 3310 nt
Filed under: Brassica napus (rape)
Lineage: Eukaryota; Viridiplantae; Streptophyta; Magnoliopsida; Brassicales; Brassicaceae
Description: long non-coding RNA (BNAP_LNC017497)
Source: RNAcentral
GAAUGGGCUGGAUUGCUUGGCUGGGAGCUCCUUGCUCAAUAGAGAGCUGUUCAAAUUCUUGUACCGGAGCAGGAGGAUCCGGCAUCUGAGUAGGACUCACCUCAGCCGGUGUAGGCUGAGAAGACACCGCUUGAUAAGUUGGUAAGGUAGCUUGAUGCAGCUCGGGAACUGAUUGUCUCUGCGGCAGUCCAGCAGAGGAUGCACCUCCACGGCCACCACCACGAGGAGGUCCUCCUCUUGGUCCACCGUACUGUUGGUGCUGCUGUUGUGGUGGCUGGCCUUCUCUUGAUCCACCAUACUGUUGCUGUGAUGGUGGCUGGCCUCCUCUUGGUCCACUGUACUGCUGCUGUUGUGGUGGUUGACCUCCUCUUGGUCCACCGUACUGCUGCUGUUGUGGUGGUUGGCCACCUCUUGGUCCACCGUACUGCUGUUGCUGCUGUUGUGGUGUAUGGCCUUCUCUAGGACCACCGUACUGCUGCUGUUGUGGUUGGCCAUAUCCACGACCACCACCACGACCUCCCGGUUGAGACUGAGGACUAUAACCUCUUCCACCUUGCUGCUGUCCUGCUCCUCCUCCUCCUCCUCUCCCCUGCUGAUAUCCACCACCUGAGGCUGGAGCAGCAUCACGGGAACCAGAUGCUUCACCUCCUUCAGAUGGACCAUCAGUUCUCUUCUUCCUCACCAUAAUGAAUCCUGAGAAAACAAACACUGAGUCGCAAAAACAUAGAAAAUCCACCUUCAGAAACCAAUAAAACUACACUCAUAAAUAUAAAUUUCGACAUGAUUUUCUGAAUGUUAAAGGAAAUACAGGAAACACAAUACAUGUUACUUAGCAAGCAAAUCAAGCAGGAAACACAUUCAGAAGCCGCUCAACUCUUACAAAAAGAUCAAAUUUCGAAAUUAUUCUUAACAAAUUCAACCAUUUGAGAGAAAGAAACAAUAGUACAAUUGCUGUAAACUACCAACAUUUUACCCCAAAAAAAAACUAUCAACACCAGCACAAACCCUUAAAAAUCAAAAACGAACGAUACCCGCAAGAUAUCUUUUUCACGUUCUUGGGGGCGCUGACAAGUCACCUUCAGAAGAGCAGUGAUCUGUCUCUCGUUCAACCUUUUUGAGUACCUCUGUCCCUCAACAAUCUUGCAGACCUGUACAGCAACAGAAAAUUAGCAUAUGAAGUAUUGGUCAGCUAACAGUAAUUGAUGACGAACUUCCAGGUUACCUCCAUUGGUAAAUAAUUUGGCCUGUUAGAAUUCCCAACUUGCAAGCAUGGUAGCUGCGUGUGCUGAAUGCGAAAGCCAUAUGUUUCGUAGAAGUAUUCAACAACAGAUUUCUGGGUAUUUCUUUCAUCCACAGGAAAUCUGAAAGUACAAUACAAAAAAAAAUAGAAACAUAAACUUCUCCUGGUUCAGCAUUCACGAAAUAGUAGUUCGCAAAGCUAAACAAACACUUACGUCAGUUCUCGAGUGGCCACAGCGGUCAGCCCCGAAAUGCGGUACUUUCGGCGCAUGUUUCCUCUAUGGGUCACUUCAACCUUCACACCUCUAAGCGCCUUUUUUAUCUGGCACAGAACAAGAUUCGAAGUCAGUAAACACAGGAAGGUUAAGAAUGCACCAUUUCACUUCAGUUAUGGAAGCAUAACAGGAAAUGACAGCUGAACCAGACCUUGACACGAUCAGCAUCGGAUAAAGGCCGGGAUCUAAUAUCCCUAUUCAGCAACUCGCAGACAAAUUCGGUAACAGGAAGUGCCUCUAUGAAUGCUGUAGAUGACAUAUCUACAAAAAAAAACAAGAUUGCAUCACAAGCAUGAGCUGGGACAACAAUAUAAAAUUUAUUAUUGAAAGUUUAGUGAACGUAAUGCAGAAAGCCAUCGCACCAAUGUUGAGGGACAAGCCCAUCUGUGUGGGACGAAUGCUUUGAUAGAAUCCACGCCAGCUCUCCAGGCCAUCCCCCAAUGAUUGCUUUCUUCCUAUAUCCGGAGAAUAAAAUGACCGGCCCACAGGAGUAUACCUCUCUCUAACAUGUUAGCAAAACUAAAAGAGCUGAGCCAUGUAAGCAUAGCAGUUUUGAGUAAAAACAUCCACUAGAUGAGUGAACCUACUUUGAAGUUGGCAGCUCACGAAGAACAAUGUCAAGAACCUGAAGAGCCUCCUGCGGGGCAUCAGCUUGCUUCCCCUGUAAAAACAAUCCUAGGUGAUGUAGAUCAGCACGGGCAGCUAGCUUGAUCACAACUUUGAACUCCCUUUCUCGUCUGUAAAAGAAAAAUAUUUUUUUACUCCGAAAAUUCCUUAAAAGGAUAAAGAUAAUAACUAUAUAUGAACUAACCUUUGUCCCCCAGCCCCUUCUUCCUCGUCCUGAAGUAAGAUUCUGAAUUCUUUCGAAACAAACGGAAGCGGUCCAGCAGUGUACAGACUUUUUCGCCCAUCAUAUGCAGGAAGACGCCUUCCAAGAUGUGUUUCACGAUACAAGUCAACCAACUGUUUCAUCACAGCACGAUUGACACCCCUUGAUGUAACUUCUGGAGUAAUGGUUACCUGCAAACACACAAAAACAAGACAGCAUUAGAUGCACUGUAGCUAAAGUAUAAAAACAAGGGAACAAGCACAUCAAAACUUACGUCAUACUGGUGCAAAUCUUUAUCAGGUAACUCGGCAAAGAAGUGGUUGGCCUUUACAAUGCAUCGCUUGCCAAUCUGUCCUUUACCAGGCCUCAGUGGAAACUUACAAGCUUUGCUGGAAGAUGGAAUGGGCUGGAUUGCUUGGCUGGGAGCUCCUUGCUCAAUAGAGAGCUGUUCAAAUUCUUGUACCGGAGCAGGAGGAUCCGGCAUCUGAGUAGGCCUCACCUCAGACGGUGUAGGCUGAGAAGACACCGCUUGAUAAGUUGGUAAGGUAGCUUGAUGCAGCUCGGGAACUGAUUGUCUCUGCGGCAGUCCAGCAGAGGAUGCACCUCCACGGCCACCACCACGAGGAGGUCCUCCUCUUGGUCCACCGUACUGUUGGUGCUGCUGUUGUGGUGGCUGGCUUUCUCUUGGUCCACCAUACUGUUGCUGUGAUGGUGGCUGGCCUCCUCUUGGUCCACUGUACUGCUGCUGUUGUGGUGGUUGACCUCCUCUUGGUCCACCGUACUGCUGCUGUUGUGGUGGUUGGCCACCUCUUGGUCCACCGUACUGCUGUUGCUGCUGUUGUGGUGUAUGGCCUUCUCUAGGACCACCGUACUGCUGCUGUUGUGGUUGGCCAUAUCCACGACCACCACCACGACCUCCCGGUUGAGACUGAGGACUAUAACCUCUUCCACCUUGCUGCUGUCCUGC